CGGUUGAUCCUGCCGGACCCCACUGCUAUCGGGGUCCGACUAAGCCAUGCGAGUCGAGAGCUCUCAAGCCAACAAGAGAGUGCGGCGUAAUGCUCAGUAACACGCGGAUAACCUGCCCUCGAGACGAAGAUAACCCCGGGAAACUGGGGCUAAUCCGCGAUAGGCGAAGAGCUCUGGAAUGGGUCUUCACCCAAAAGGCGAUUAGGUUAUGCUCCUGGUCGGUGCCCAAGGAUGGGUCUGCGGCCUAUCAGGUUGUUGGUGAGGCAACGGCUCACCAAGCCUUUGACCGGUGCGGGCCGUGGGAGCGGGAGCCCGGAGAUGGGCACUGAGACAUGAAUCCAGGCCCUACGGGGCGCAGCAGUCGCGCAAACUUUGCAAUACACGAAAGUGUGACAGGGCUAUCCCGAGUGCCGUCCGCUGAGGAUGGCUUUUACUCAGUCUAGAAAGCUGGGAGAAUAAGGAGAGGGCAAGUCUGGUGUCAGCCGCCGCGGUAAUACCAGCUCUCCGAGUGGUGUGGAUGUUUAUUGGGCCUAAAGCAUCCGUAGCUGGCCAGGCCAGUCCCCUGUUAAACCCAACGAAUUAAUCGUUGGUUUGCGGGGGAUACUGCCCGGCUAGGGGACGAGAGAGGCCGACGGUAUUUUCGGGGUAGGGGUGAAAUCCUAUAAUCCCGGGAAGACCACCAGUGGCGAAGGCUGUCGGCUAGAACGCGCCCGACGGUGAGGGAUGAAAGCUGGGGGAGCGAACCGGAUUAGAUACCCGGGUAGUCCCAGCUGUAAACGAUGCAGGCUAGGUGUUUGGGCGGCCACGCGCCGCUCUAGUGCCGCAGGGAAACUGUUAAGCCUGCCGCCUGGGGAGUACGGUCGCAAGAUUGAAACUUAAAGGAAUUGGCGGGGGAGCACCACAAGGGGUGAAGCUUGCGGUUUAAUUGGAGUCAACGCCGGAAAGCUUACCGGGUUCGACAGCACUAUGAAGGUCAGAUUAAAGGUCUUGCCAGACGAGCUGAGAGGAGGUGCAUGGCCGUCGUCAGUUCGUAUCGUGAGACAUCCUGUUAAGUCAGGCAACGAGCAAGACCCGUGCCCACAGUUGCAACUGGCCUAGAGUCAGGCACACUGUGGGGACCGCCGCUGCUAAAGCGGAGGAAGGAGCGGGCUACGGUAGGUCAGUAUGCCCCGAAUCACCCGGGCUACACGCGGGCUACAAUGGUUGGGACAAUGGGUUCCGACCUCGUAAGGGGAAGGCAAUCUCGAAAGCCUGCCUUAGUUCGGAUUGAGGGCUGCAACUCGCCCUCAUGAAGCCGGAAUCCGUAGUAACCGCGUAUCAAAAUCACGCGGUGAAUACGUCCCUGCUCCUUGCACACACCGCCCGUCGUUCCACCCGAGCGACUCUUGAAUGAGGCGUAGGCUUUUGUGGCGGCGUCGAAUCUUAGUUUUGUAAGGGGGGAAAAGUCGUAACAAGGUAGCC
RNAcentral lists this ribosomal RNA (1461 nucleotides) under uncultured archaeon. Its description in RNAcentral is "bacterial SSU rRNA". It matches the Rfam family "Archaeal small subunit ribosomal RNA". The record is from RNAcentral.